UGUCUGAGGUUGUAUCUUUGAUUCUUCAUUUCUAACAAUCUCCCAGCUGAGACUGAUGCUACCCAUUCAUGGACCACCCUUGGAGUACAAAGCAGUCAGAGCAUAAAGUUAAGAGACAGGAAGUAUGGAGAAAUGAGGCUCGCACAGCUUGGUCUAGUGUGCUAAUUAGUUUUGAUUAUAUCCUGCAGGUGAUGGGAAGCCAUUGAAGAGAUGGAAGGAGUUAAAUGAUCAUGCGUGUUUUUAGAAGUAUCUUCUGAAUGGAGGGUUGCAGCGUAAGAAGUCCUAAAAUGGGAACCAUUCCGGGGAGAGGCGAGCAGGCUUUUCUGUGGGGUUUGGAGGAAUGGUUAUGAAUGGAAAGAUCAUUGAGGAAAGUGAGAAAGGAGCUACCCAGACAGAAACUGUCAGGCUGAAGGGCAAUGGUGAAUCUGUAAUGUCUGUGGGAAUAUGGGAUCAUCUUGUGCCAGAUGUUCUAUGCACAAACAUCCUGAGACUGCUCAAAUAUACCAGCCAACGAUUUGACUGCAUUGGAUAUGCCUGUUGUUUUUUUGAUGACAUAAAUCCAUUUGAAAAUUUGAUCAUGCCAACACCUUCAGGCAAGUUUGGACCAUAGGAGGGCACAGAGAGAGCAUCUAGGCUUGUUUUUUUCCAGGAAGCACAAUCUCAGCCCUUGGAUAUCAGCUCUGCUGUUUUUCCAAAAGAUGUUGGCGAUGCAUGAGUUAAACCACACGCCCUUUUAUUUGACGGAAUGGAGAUGAAAUAUGUAGCUUACUGUCUGUAAAAGAACAUGAGAGAUUGAAGUAAUGCAAAAAGUCUAAAGGACGAAACUUUGGAAUUCUUAAAUAGAAUCUGAACACAUUUGUAUCCUGAGAGCUAAGUUCAAAGCCUGUGAAAUAAUUCUUGAAUGUGUGAGUUAAUGAAAGAAAAUUCAAUUUUUUUAAAGGGUGGAAAUUCUUGACUGAAAAACUAAGUAACUGAGUAAACACAUUACACAAACUUACUGGGAUGUCUGCAGGUGCCGCAAGGGAUGCCGAACACAGUGACAAGGGAAAAGGAGUUGGAGACUGGGAAUUGCCUUCAGAGUAAGAGAAAAACAGAAGAAAAAAGUGCAGAGCAGGAGGAGGGAGGAUGGGGCAGGGCUCUUAUCUGGCAGAGUGAUUUGAACUCUCUGAAUGUAAAUGAAGAUAACAGCAUAUCCUUAAAGUCACCUCCAUCGCCCUGGCUAAGAUUCUGGACAGAUAAAAUGCAUACCUGUUAGCCAUGAAGGCGGCAUCUUCAUGUAGUCUCAGCUACUAAAGAGGCUGAGGCAGGAGACUUGUUUAAGCCCAGGAGUUCGAGGCUGCAGUGAGCUAUAAUUGCACCACUGCUCUCCAACCUGGGCGACAGAGCAAGACCCUGCCAUAAACAAACAAACAAACACAAAAUAAGAAAGAAAAGAACAGAAAGAAAGAAAGAAGUAAGAAAGAAAGAAAAGAAAGAAAGAAAGAAAGAAAGAAAGAAAAGAAAAGAAAGAAGAAAGAAAGAGCAAAGGAAAAUGGCCUGGCAAUAGAGUAAAACUUUCUCUUUAAAAAAAAAAGAAGAAAAGAAAAAUAGAAAAACAAAACAAAGCCACUGGGGGCUCCAAAAAAUGGAGGGUGGGAGAAGGUUAAGAAUUGAAAAAUUAUCUUUGUGUGCAAUGCUCAUUAUUUGGAUAUGGAUUCACUAAAAGCCCAAACCCCAGCAUUAUGCCGUAUACCCAUGUAACAAACCUGCACAUGUAUUCCCUG
This is a long non-coding RNA of Callithrix jacchus (white-tufted-ear marmoset), 1763 nucleotides long. The record is from Ensembl. NCBI's taxonomy places the organism in Eukaryota, Metazoa, Chordata, Mammalia, Primates, Cebidae.